AGAGUUUGAUCAUGGCUCAGGAUGAACGCUGGCGGCGUGGAUAAGGCAUGCAAGUCGAGUGGGUUUAGACCCACGGCAGACGAGGUAGUAACACGUACGAACGCACCCCGAAGUCGGGCAUAUACCAUCGAAAGAUGGAGUAAUUCCCGAUGGUCUCGCAAGAGUAAAGAUUUAUCGCUUCGGGAGCGGCGUGCGUAAUAUCAGCUAGUUGGUAGGGUAAUGGCCUACCAAGGCUACGACGUUUAGGGGAGCUGAGAGGCUGACCCCCACCGAUGGGACUGAGACACGGCCCAUACUCCUACGGGAGGCCGCAGUCGAGAAUCUUCCGCAAUGGACGAAAGUCUGACGGAGCGACGCCGCGUGCUGGACGAAGUGCCUCGGCACGUAAACAGCUUUUAUGUGGGAUGAAAUUAUUGACAGUACCACAUGAAUAAGGGGCUCCUAACUCUGUGCCAGCAGGAGCGGUAAUACAGAGGCCCCAAGCGUUAUCCGGAAUCACUGGGCGUAAAGGGUGUCAAGGCGGUCGUGUUAGUCGUUUGUAAAAUCCUGGAGCUCAACUUCAGGCCCGCAAGCGAAACGGCACGACUCGAGGUUGGGAGAGGUGCGUGGAACUCACGGUGUAGGGGUGAAAUCCGUUGAUAUCGUGGGGAACACCAAAGGCGAAGGCAGCGCACUGGCCCAAAUCUGACGCUCACACACGAAAGCCAGGGUAGCGAACGGGAUUAGAUACCCUCGUAGUCC
RNAcentral lists this ribosomal RNA (741 nucleotides) under uncultured bacterium. RNAcentral's name for it is "bacterial SSU rRNA". It matches the Rfam family "Bacterial small subunit ribosomal RNA", at positions 8 to 796 of the family's 1533-position model. The record is from RNAcentral.